ACAUGCAAGUCGAACGAUGAUGCCCAGCUUGCUGGGCGGAUUAGUGGCGAACGGGUGAGUAAUACGUGAGUAACCUGCCCUUGACUCUGGGAUAAGCCUGGGAAACUGGGUCUAAUACUGGAUACUACCUCUUACCGCAUGGUGGGUGGUGGAAAGGGUUUUACUGGUUUUGGAUGGGCUCACGGCCUAUCAGCUUGUUGGUGGGGUAAUGGCUCACCAAGGCGACGACGGGUAGCCGGCCUGAGAGGGUGACCGGCCACACUGGGACUGAGACACGGCCCAGACUCCUACGGGAGGCAGCAGUGGGGAAUAUUGCACAAUGGGCGGAAGCCUGAUGCAGCGACGCCGCGUGAGGGAUGACGGCCUUCGGGUUGUAAACCUCUUUCAGUAGGGAAGAAGCGAGAGUGACGGUACCUGCAGAAGAAGCGCCGGCUAACUACGUGCCAGCAGCCGCGGUAAUACGUAGGGCGCAAGCGUUGUCCGGAAUUAUUGGGCGUAAAGAGCUCGUAGGCGGUUUGUCGCGUCUGCUGUGAAAGCCCGGGGCUCAACCCCGGGUCUGCAGUGGGUACGGGCAGACUAGAGUGCAGUAGGGGAGACUGGAAUUCCUGGUGUAGCGGUGAAAUGCGCAGAUAUCAGGAGGAACACCGAUGGCGAAGGCAGGUCUCUGGGCUGUUACUGACGCUGAGGAGCG
RNAcentral lists this ribosomal RNA (691 nucleotides) under uncultured Kocuria sp. RNAcentral's name for it is "bacterial SSU rRNA". It matches the Rfam family "Bacterial small subunit ribosomal RNA", at positions 53 to 755 of the family's 1533-position model. Lineage: Bacteria; Bacillati; Actinomycetota; Actinomycetes; Micrococcales; Micrococcaceae. The record is from RNAcentral.